Long non-coding RNA from Cyprinus carpio (common carp), 178 nucleotides. RefSeq lists it as uncharacterized. The transcript is spliced from 3 exons. The record is from RefSeq and is a predicted model, not a curated record. NCBI's taxonomy places the organism in Eukaryota, Metazoa, Chordata, Actinopteri, Cypriniformes, Cyprinidae.
CAUUUAUAGCUGCUUGGACCAGCAUCUUCGGAAUUUGUAGACAUCCUGGCAACUUACAAUUAAUUCGAGGUGAGACACUGAAUUUGAGCAGAAACCAUAAGGAUACUCAAAGGACCUGUGACUCUCAGGAAAUGCAUCAAAUGAGAGUGACAGGUGAAACCGUUUCAAGACAAUGGCA